GGUUAAGCGACUAAGCGUACACGGUGGAUGCCCUGGCAGUCAGAGGCGAUGAAGGGCGUGCUAAUCUGCGAUAAGCGCCGGUAAGGUGAUAUGAACCGUUAUAACCGGCGAUACCCGAAUGGGGAAACCCAGUGUGAUUCGUCACACUAUCAUUAACUGAAUCCAUAGGUUAAUGAGGCGAACCGGGGGAACUGAAACAUCUAAGUACCCCGAGGAAAAGAAAUCAACCGAGAUUCCCCCAGUAGCGGCGAGCGAACGGGGAGGAGCCCAGAGCCUGAAUCAGCAUGUGUGUUAGUGGAAGCGUCUGGAAAGGCGCGCGAUACAGGGUGACAGCCCCGUACACAAAAGCGCAUGUGCUGUGAGCUCGAUGAGUAGGGCGGGACACGUGGUAUCCUGUCUGAAUAUGGGGGGACCAUCCUCCAAGGCUAAAUACUCCUGACUGACCGAUAGUGAACCAGUACCGUGAGGGAAAGGCGAAAAGAACCCCGGCGAGGGGAGUGAAAAAGAACCUGAAACCGUGUACGUACAAGCAGUGGGAGCCCCACCACCAAAGCAUUCUCUGGUGUUGAAGGCCCUGCAAAGCAGCAUCGCGGUGGCGGAGCGUCGUUUGCGACGCCCAACACACAAAACAAGCGGUGAAUGCUUUGGGGUGGGGUGACUGCGUACCUUUUGUAUAAUGGGUCAGCGACUUAUAUUCUGUAGCAAGGUUAACCGAAUAGGGGAGCCGGAGGGAAACCGAGUCUUAAUUGGGCGUUAAGUUGCAGGGUAUAGACCCGAAACCCGGUGAUCUAGCCAUGGGCAGGUUGAAGGUUGGGUAACACUAACUGGAGGACCGAACCGACUAAUGUUGAAAAAUUAGCGGAUGACCUGUGGCUGGGGGUGAAAGGCCAAUCAAACCGGGAGAUAGCUGGUUCUCCCCGAAAGCUAUUUAGGUAGCGCCUCGUGAAUUCAUCUCCGGGGGUAGAGCACUGUUUCGGCUAGGGGGCCAUCCCGGCUUACCAACCCGAUGCAAACUGCGAAUACCGGAGAAUGUUAUCACGGGAGACACACGGCGGGUGCUAACGUCCGUCGUGAAGAGGGAAACAACCCAGACCGCCAGCUAAGGUCCCAAAGUCAUGGUUAAGUGGGAAACGAUGUGGGAAGGCCCAGACAGCCAGGAUGUUGGCUUAGAAGCAGCCAUCAUUUAAAGAAAGCGUAAUAGCUCACUGGUCGAGUCGGCCUGCGCGGAAGAUGUAACGGGGCUAAACCAUGCACCGAAGCUGCGGCAGCGACGCUGAUGCGUUGUUGGGUAGGGGAGCGUUCUGUAAGCCUGCGAAGGUGACCUGUGAGGGUUGCUGGAGGUAUCAGAAGUGCGAAUGCUGACAUAAGUAACGAUAAAGCGGGUGAAAAGCCCGCUCGCCGGAAGACCAAGGGUUCCUGUCCAACGUUAAUCGGGGCAGGGUGAGUCGACCCCUAAGGCGAGGCCGAAAGGCGUAGUCGAUGGGAAACGGGUUAAUAUUCCCGUACUUGGUGUUACUGCGAAGGGGGGACGGAGAAGGCUAUGUUGGCCGGGCGACGGUUGUCCCGGUUUAAGCGUGUAGGUGUGUGUUCCAGGUAAAUCCGGUUCACUUUAACACUGAGGCGUGACGACGAGGCACUACGGUGCUGAAGCAACAAAUGCCCUGCUUCCAGGAAAAGCCUCUAAGCAUCAGGUAACACGAAAUCGUACCCCAAACCGACACAGGUGGUCAGGUAGAGAAUACCAAGGCGCUUGAGAGAACUCGGGUGAAGGAACUAGGCAAAAUGGUGCCGUAACUUCGGGAGAAGGCACGCUGACACGUAGGUGAAGUGAUUUACUCAUGGAGCUGAAGUCAGUCGAAGAUACCAGCUGGCUGCAACUGUUUAUUAAAAACACAGCACUGUGCAAACACGAAAGUGGACGUAUACGGUGUGACGCCUGCCCGGUGCCGGAAGGUUAAUUGAUGGGGUCAGCGCAAGCGAAGCUCCUGAUCGAAGCCCCGGUAAACGGCGGCCGUAACUAUAACGGUCCUAAGGUAGCGAAAUUCCUUGUCGGGUAAGUUCCGACCUGCACGAAUGGCGUAAUGAUGGCCAGGCUGUCUCCACCCGAGACUCAGUGAAAUUGAACUCGCUGUGAAGAUGCAGUGUACCCGCGGCAAGACGGAAAGACCCCGUGAACCUUUACUAUAGCUUGACACUGAACAUUGAGCCUUGAUGUGUAGGAUAGGUGGGAGGCUUUGAAGUGUGGACGCCAGUCUGCAUGGAGCCGACCUUGAAAUACCACCCUUUAAUGUUUGAUGUUCUAACGUGGACCCGUAAUCCGGGUUGCGGACAGUGUCUGGUGGGUAGUUUGACUGGGGCGGUCUCCUCCUAAAGAGUAACGGAGGAGCACGAAGGUUGGCUAAUCCUGGUCGGACAUCAGGAGGUUAGUGCAAUGGCAUAAGCCAGCUUGACUGCGAGCGUGACGGCGCGAGCAGGUGCGAAAGCAGGUCAUAGUGAUCCGGUGGUUCUGAAUGGAAGGGCCAUCGCUCAACGGAUAAAAGGUACUCCGGGGAUAACAGGCUGAUACCGCCCAAGAGUUCAUAUCGACGGCGGUGUUUGGCACCUCGAUGUCGGCUCAUCACAUCCUGGGGCUGAAGUAGGUCCCAAGGGUAUGGCUGUUCGCCAUUUAAAGUGGUACGCGAGCUGGGUUUAGAACGUCGUGAGACAGUUCGGUCCCUAUCUGCCGUGGGCGCUGGAGAACUGAGGGGGGCUGCUCCUAGUACGAGAGGACCGGAGUGGACGCAUCACUGGUGUUCGGGUUGUCAUGCCAAUGGCACUGCCCGGUAGCUAAAUGCGGAAGAGAUAAGUGCUGAAAGCAUCUAAGCACGAAACUUGCCCCGAGAUGAGUUCUCCCUGAGACUUUAGGUCUCCUGAAGGAACGUUGAAGACGACGACGUUGAUAGGCCGGGUGUGUAAGCGCAGCGAUGCGUUGAGCUAACCGGUACUAAUGAACCGUGAGGCUUAACCUU
Molecule: ribosomal RNA, 3008 nt
Filed under: Salmonella enterica
Lineage: Bacteria; Pseudomonadati; Pseudomonadota; Gammaproteobacteria; Enterobacterales; Enterobacteriaceae
Also listed under: 1 other name
Description: 23S ribosomal RNA
Rfam family: Bacterial large subunit ribosomal RNA
Source: RNAcentral